Non-coding RNA from Felis catus (domestic cat), 85 nucleotides. The record is from Rfam. NCBI's taxonomy places the organism in Eukaryota, Metazoa, Chordata, Mammalia, Carnivora, Felidae.
GCCUGGGUGGCUCAGUUGGUUGAGCGUCCGACUUCGGCUCAGGUCAUGAUCUCACGGUUUGUGAGUUCGAGCCCCACGUCGGGCU